GACGAACGCUGGCGGCGUGCCUAAUACAUGCAAGUUGAGCGCUGAAGGUUGGUACUUGUACCAACUGGAUGAGCAGCGAACGGGUGAGUAACGCGUGGGGAAUCUGCCUUUGAGCGGGAGACAACAUUUGGAAACGAAUGCUAAUACCGCAUAAAAACUUUAAACACAAGUUUUAAGUUUGAAAGAUGCAAUUGCAUCACUCAAAGAUGAUCCCGCGUUGUAUUAGCUAGUUGGUGAGGUAAAGGCUCACCAAGGCGAUGAUACAUAGCCGACCUGAGAGGGUGAUCGGCCACAUUGGGACUGAGACACGGCCCAAACUCCUGCGGGAGGCAGCAGUAGGGAAUCUUCGGCAAUGGACGAAAGUCUGACCGAGCAACGCCGCGUGAGUGAAGAAGGUUUUCGGAUCGUAAAACUCUGUUGGUAGAGAAGAACGUUGGUGAGAGUGGAAAGCUCAUCAAGUGACGGUAACUACCCAGAAAGGGACGGCUAACUACGUG
RNAcentral lists this ribosomal RNA (497 nucleotides) under uncultured bacterium. RNAcentral describes it as "partial 16S ribosomal RNA". It matches the Rfam family "Bacterial small subunit ribosomal RNA", at positions 28 to 507 of the family's 1533-position model. The record is from RNAcentral.